Molecule: non-coding RNA, 125 nt
Organism: Triticum aestivum (bread wheat)
Lineage: Eukaryota; Viridiplantae; Streptophyta; Magnoliopsida; Poales; Poaceae
Source: Rfam
GUACUACUCCCUCCGUUCGGAAUUACUUGUCACAGAAAUGGAUGUAUCUAGACAUAUUUUAGUUGUAGAUACAUCCAUUUUUAUCCACGUUUGAGACAAGUAAUUUGGAACGGAGGGAGUACUUA